This is a long non-coding RNA of Chinchilla lanigera (long-tailed chinchilla), 5007 nucleotides long. RefSeq lists it as uncharacterized. The transcript is spliced from 3 exons. The record is from RefSeq and is a predicted model, not a curated record. Lineage: Eukaryota; Metazoa; Chordata; Mammalia; Rodentia; Chinchillidae.
GCCAGGUCUCCAUAGUAAAUACAAGAUGCACGAAGUGGAAACAAGCACAAACAAUUUAUUUUCUCCGGCAAAAGAUGACACUCUUGUCCGACCUCUGGUCCUGCUUCACUCUUGUCGCUUGGUAGUGCCAAGUGGGUGCCACACAAUGAGCUAUUCCAAACACAUACGCAGAAAACACAGACUGCGUGAUGCACACAUCACGGGGCCUGUGUAUCCAGGCAGCUUCCAAACAGCAAGCCGGUGGCCCCUGAGGACAUCUCACAUCCUGGCAUGGAGAGCAAGGAGGGCUUCCUGGACACCAUCCUUGAAAAGAAGACGUUCCCUCCCCGAGUCUCUGGUGACUGGGGCAGCUGGUGAUGUGCCUGGCUCUGCUCGGAGACUCUGACAGACCUGGAUGCAUGAUCAGCAAGAAGACCAUGAUUCUGCACUGCGGAUCAUCAGCUACGCCCCAAAGAUUUACUGAAUGCUUUCCAAGUGGAGGCACAGAAGAAGUACAAAAAGAUUCCUCUUGGAAACGUAUAACCUGCACAUGUUUUGUAAAAUUUCAUUUUUAAGGGCUGUAUGAUUGAGAAGAAAAACACUGGAUUUUGAGCUGAAAGACUUGGUUAUGAAUUUGUGCUUACUAGUUAUACAAUCCGAGGCAAGACACGUGUACAUUGAGGGCCUUGGUUUCCAUGCCUAUAAAAUGGAAAUCUCAAAGAAGGAGCAAUUUAAACAAGAUGUUAUAUCCUAUACACUUAUAUGUAAUUACAGAUGAACUAUAUGUAGGAUACUAAGUAGAAUAUCAUAUACAUAGGUAUUUUAUGUGUUGUAAAGUAGCACAAUGAUCUGUUACCAUUUAUUCAAAAGGGCUAUGAAGCCUCUACUAUGUAUAAGGCACUGUGUUAAGAUGAUGCUAUGCAGAAGCAUCUGAAGACAAGAGUCCCAAGGUGCUCCUGUUUCAAUAGGGAGAGAUGGGCUGGAACACUACUAGAAAUGGAAACCAAGGGGAAAGACAAUUCAGGAGUCAAGUGCAGUAUGUUAAGUGUUUAGCUAAUAGGCCAUCUUCUGAGGGCUCUGCUGCAUUUCCAUGCCACACACUGGCUGACCUUGGGCUUGCUAUUUAACCUCUUCCUCCAGCAUCUAGCCUUAGUUUCCUCAUCUAUGCAGCAGGGAGAACACCUUCUUGUCAUAUGGCUGUGAUGCCCUCCUCCAGGUGGGACCCCCCCAGUGUGGGUAAUGGGUUCAGACCUGGUACCACUAUUUCAAGAAGAGACUCUGGCACUUACCAUUAGCAAAGCCAUUUGGCAACACCGUAAGUUCAGACUCACCUAGUUUUCUCCAGAUAGUACACGACAGCCUCCCAUCUUCCCUAACACUUAUUAUUAAGAUCAGAAAAGUAACUAUACAUAUUAUUUUAAGUGUUAUGUUACCUGCUUUGAAUUUCCAAAGUCUAAAGACUGCUAGCACAAAAAUUUUUCCAAUAGAUAUUAGCACAAACCUUUUCAAUGAACUAAGAGAUACUAAUAGUAUAACUGACUUGCAUUUUAAGCAACUACUUUAAAUGAUAACAUAAAAUGUAGUAACUAUGGUUGUUCUCCUAUUAUUUUGUUAUGAAAUUUUGUUUGACCUUUUUCCAUAAGAUAGUAAAAAAGAGAAAGUAUUUAGAAAGUUAUACAGUGGAACCUUGGUUCACAAACGUAAUUUGUUCCACCAUACUGGAAAUGAUGGCUGCGGGAAAGAUGGCCAUGGCUGUUUUCUCAGCAAAUGGUGAGUUCAUAAACAAAAACAAACUUUUGCCAAACGCUUCUGUUUGCGCACCAAAUUGUUUGCAAACAGCGUUUGUGAACUGAGAUACCAGUGUGUAUCUGGCUGUAUAUAAUCUGAGAGUCACAAAGAUGAUGUACUAUGAUAAAAACAUUUGGAAAAGGAGAAGCCUACUGGAAUUUGGUACAUGUAGUAUUAUAAAACCUCUUUAUUGUUACGGAAGAAUGCAUACGCAUAACAUCUUUCCUCUUUUAAAACUGCCUCCAUGUAUUUAAAGAGCAUUAAUCUAUCAGCUUUUCUCAUUAAACAAACAAACAAAAAAAAAACUGCUAGCAUUUUAGGUCUCGAAGGAUCCUUAGAAAUCAUUUGUUAUUAUUCAUGGAAUGCAUUUUAUGUUUCUUUUUAUAAAUAACCUAACUUUCUGAUGUGGGUUUAAAUUAUUUUCUACCUAUACUUAGUCUAACCAUUAUAGUUCUCCCUAACUGUCCUUUGAGUGUUUUCAUAGGAUAAUAACCACAAACUAAGAGUGUAAUAUAAAAAUUUACUUAAUUGACAUAUCUAUUUAGAAGUUACUAAUGAAUAGGAGAAAAUUUUUAAAAAUUACUAAUGAACUUUUUGCACAUAAUUAAUUCUGGUUGCUUUCCCAGCUUAACAAAUAAGAACUAGAAUUUGUGACAUUAUUUCCUUAUGUUAUCCAUUAAUGGUGCACUGUGCGCAUUCCAAUGCAGAGAGGGAGAGAAGAGCAAAUGAGGACUCUGAAAAGAACACUUAGCUUCAUUUGGUCAAAAAAUGGUCUUUACAAGGGUUUUUAUUAUGGGUCAUAAAACACUGCUUACCACAAUGUACCUCUUCCUCAAAAAAGAAAAGAAACCCUUGCAGUGGUGAGAAGCUGAAAACAACACACUGAGAGUCCUCGUGCCUUCCUCCCAUAAACACAUCUGUGUAUGUUAAUCUGUUUUGGGAAGAGCUGUGUGCACAGCUGUUUAUGGGGCUCUGAAGAAGAGGCAGCACUUCAACAUUCUUUAUUUCAUGCUGUUGCAAGAACUAAAUCUAAGCUGAAGCCUGUUAGGAUAGAGAGCAAAUGCAUCUCCGGGGGGAGGACAGCCAUAUGCUUCGCACUAAUAACAUCUUCCAUGGGCAGGAAGAGGCUCUGGGUGGUCACAUCCCAUGAGGAAAGCAUGGAGGCCAAGGGAAAAGGGGAUCUCCUCACCAAAAGGAACUGAAGAACUAACCACCAAGCCAGAAACGAGACCUGGGUUAACAAUCUGAUGGCCAUUUUGCAAAGAAGUCGGCAGGUUAACAAGAAGACUGGCAUCGCGGUGGGAAUUAUCCGGGGAAAGAGUAGCAUCAUUAUGGCUAGGAACACCUUAGCCUUCAUGCGGUACUGGUAUCCAGGUAUAGGCACACCUAUGCAUGGAAUGCCGUUUCAGGUUAAAGAUGUCCCUGCUCAAGUGCAGUGCUCUUUAACUUCUUGAGCUGGAGGUUCUCUUAAACAAGCCCUUCUUACCUUCAAAUCUUUUCCUGGCCCACUUAAAGCUCCCAGUUAGCCUUCUGGGUCUUUCCCUUCCCUGGCACCAGAAAACUGUGUUCUACUUCUUACGCUUUUCCUCCAAGGCCGCUCCUCAGCAACCAUCUGUCCGUCUCCUACUACAAUUAGAACUGCUGAAACAAAAACGCCCACACGCAGGAAGACUGGAGUGAUGAUAUAUCACAGCCUCCAAUUUCCUCUGGGCUUUCAGUGUGCUCUCCUCUGGCUCUGCGGAAAGCUCCCUUUGUGUUGCCCACAAUAGCUACCACAAACAUUUAACAUUUGUCUGUUUUCUCUGUCUCAUUUUCAUUCUAAUUGUGGUUCUCCAAAGUAUCUUAAAUUCUAAAUUCCGCCUCCACCCCCUCACCUCGUUCAUUCAUGGCUUUAACCUUUAUAUUGGUCAUAUUUUGAGACAUCCCAAGUCAUGAGAGGAGUUGGACUGUGCCCAAACUCUGUGCAAGCUUUUCUUCCUGCUCUUUUCCAGAAUAUCCCACACAAGUGGUCAUCUCAAGCUGUCCAAAAUAACACAGGUUUUUCACUUCUAUCAAAACUUCAGCCUGUACUUCUAUCAAAACUUCAGCCUUGUACCACCAUCCGCCCAAAUGAGCAAUUCAGAAAUUUGACAAAUAUUUUAGGUUCCUUCUCCCUCCCCAACCAUGUCACCAAUCAGCCACCCUGUCCUGGUCAUUACCGUUUCCAAACUACCUUUCAAGUGAAGGUCAUUUGCAUUCUCUCUGGUCUUCACAGUCCUAAUCAAGCUGCCAGUACGGCUUGCCUGGACCCCUGCAACAGUGAUCCAACACAGCUAGCUCCCAUCUUUAGAUUUAUGUAUCUUUAAUCUUUUCUACACAGUGAUGACUAAGUGAUACUUCUCAAAGGUCAAUAUGAGUCACACAGAAAUCCCCUAAACUCACUCUAAAACAAAGGUUCAACUUAAGACUGAUACCUAAGGCACUUUACUUUCUGAUUCCUAACUCCCUCUGGCUUUAUUUACAGCUAUUCUCCCACCUCUCCCACUGUGCUUACAAGGUAACAUUAUAUCUCUGUCGCUUUGCAGUGCUCCAUUCUCUCUUCAAUGCUCUUGCCAAAAAGUGACUCCAUCCCCAACAUACACACAUCUUCCAAUAUGUAUCUUAUCUGGCUGCCUCCUUGUAGCCUACCUUUGAAAACUUGUGUCAGUCAGUCUUUGGUCAAGUGCUGGUCAAUUCUUCCACACCUGCAGGCUAACGGAGGCACCCCUUCCUAUAACACACCACACUACAUAAGCAUUCUGUUACAGAGCUUAUCUCACUUUCCUUGAAAGGUUAUGUCUCCUUCCCUUGCUGCUAAGAAGGUAACUGGAAAUGAAGGUGGGGUGAAAAAAAUAAAGGCGCAUCCUAUGCACUCCACUAUAUUAUUUCCCCAGACACUUUGCAUGUGUUAUUUCACUUAACUCUUAGCACUCUGUUGAGUAAACUCAUCAUUCAUUCAUUCAAAGUUUGUAUCGUAAGCCCGCUCUUGUGGCAGGCACUGUACUGGGCUGGAGAGCAGUGGUGAUUCUGAGAGUUCCACUUCACUGAUGCCUGGGCUCUUCUUGACCUUGUGCCACAGGCUCACCAGCCCUCUUCAACUUCUGCCUUGGACCUCAGGUGCUGAAUAAAUACAAGACGCACGCACAACGCUGUUCUUAAAAGAUGCUAGGAGGUAUGACAGACAUUGUGAAACAAAAGGAAAAUGCUCAAAAGUACAGGGCA